GAUGAACGCUGGCGGCGUGCCUAACACAUGCAAGUCGAACGAAGCACUUAAAUGGAAUUCUUCGGAAGGAAGCUUAAGUGACUGAGUGGCGGACGGGUGAGUAACGCGUGGGUAACCUGCCUCAUACAGGGGGAUAACAGUUAGAAAUGGCUGCUAAUACCGCAUAAGCACACAGUGCUGCAUGGCGCAGUGUGAAAAACUCCGGUGGUAUGAGAUGGACCCGCGUCUGAUUAGCUAGUUGGCGGGGUAAGGGCCCACCAAGCCGACGAUGUCUAGGGGUUCUGAGAGGAAGGUCCCCCACACUGGAACUGAGACACGGUCCAG
RNAcentral lists this ribosomal RNA (324 nucleotides) under uncultured bacterium. RNAcentral describes it as "bacterial SSU rRNA". It matches the Rfam family "Bacterial small subunit ribosomal RNA", at positions 28 to 334 of the family's 1533-position model. The record is from RNAcentral.